Molecule: ribosomal RNA, 501 nt
Filed under: uncultured bacterium
Lineage: Bacteria
Description: bacterial SSU rRNA
Rfam family: Bacterial small subunit ribosomal RNA
Source: RNAcentral
GACGAACGCUGUCGGCGCGCCUAACACAUGCAAGUCGAACGGAGUUGCUGAAGCUGAAUUUUUCGGAAGGACGCAUUAGUAACUUAGUGGCGGACGGGUGAGUAACGCGUGAGUAACCUGCCUUUCAGAGGGGGAUAACGUUUGGAAACGGACGCUAAUACCGCAUAACAUAACGAGGUCGCAUGGCUUUGUUAUCAAAGGAGCAAUCCGCUUCAAGAUGGGUUCGCGUCUGAUUAGCUAGUUGGUGAGGUAAUGGCCCACCAAGGCAACGAUCAGUAGCCGGACUGAGAGGUCGAUCGGCCACAUUGGGACUGAGAUACGGCCCAGACUCCUACGGGAGGCAGCAGUGGGGAAUAUUGGGCAAUGGGCGAAAGCCUGACCCAGCGACGCCGCGUGGAGGAAGAAGGUUUUCGGAUUGUAAACUCCUGUCUUCGGGGAAGAUAAUGACGGUACCCGAGGAGGAAGCCACGGCUAACUACGUGCCAGCAGCCGCCGUAACAC